GUAAUUAGUAGCAAUGCAUAUGCUAAAAUUGAAACGACACAAAGGUGAUUAGCAUGGACCCUGCUCAAGGACGACAUGCAAAUUCGUUAAACAUUCCAUUUAUUU
Molecule: non-coding RNA, 105 nt
Organism: Octopus bimaculoides (California two-spot octopus)
Lineage: Eukaryota; Metazoa; Mollusca; Cephalopoda; Octopoda; Octopodidae
Source: Rfam